Long non-coding RNA from Malurus melanocephalus (red-backed fairy wren), 826 nucleotides. RefSeq lists it as uncharacterized. NCBI's taxonomy places the organism in Eukaryota, Metazoa, Chordata, Aves, Passeriformes, Maluridae. The record is from RefSeq and is a predicted model, not a curated record. The transcript is spliced from 3 exons.
CCGCGCUGGGUGCGCGGGCCCGCCGAGGAAUCCCAGGAAUGAGGGAAUGCUGCUGCGAGCAGGUGGGGAGCGCCGCCCGCACCCAUUGGCCGCCGCCGCCGUGACGUCAGCGCCAUUAGGGUAAUGAGGCAAUGACGUCACAUCCUCGCAGAAAAGACUUCACCCCAUGGAUGUUCCCAUAAGAUGAAGACAGACAAGACUGCUGAAAAAAAGAUUAAAUACGAAAGGAGUGUCAGAAGAACAAAUGAAAAUCAACCCUUGGCCACAAGCCACUGGUUUUAAUUUAAUUUUUUUCUUUGAUAGAAAGACCACAAAUGCUUCACAGCAGAGCUCCAAAUGGCAAAUUCAGUGUAAAAGAAAGGUCAGUAUAGCCAGUGAUCCACAGCUGAAGGACAAGAUGAACUUUAGUCCAACUGGCAUCAUUAAAAUCAUGAACAAAUGAAAAUCAAGACAGAUGCUAAAUGAUUUUCCUGGUUUCCAUGUAAACCCAUAGUAAGCWACAUCAUUUACAGACAUUUGCAGGCUGUAAGAUCAGGUCCUUCAGUCACCAGGAGUUCUUGGAAACCAAAGGCACCAGCAGGAGGCCACUGGGCAUCAAAAGGCUGCCUAAAGCCCUUGGAAUAUGCAGCUAUCAGCUCAAGGGUGAGCUGUGGAAUCUCUCUGGAAGAACCAAGCUCAGCCACGUUUGCUGGAUGCAAACACCAACCCCGAUUUUCCCACUGCUUUGUGGUUCUCACAGCCUGAGCUUGGGAACUGCUGAGGGUUUAGGAUCCUUCCUGACUAGGGAUUGCUAGACUAAGGUCAGUUAUCUCAUCAGGAUAAGUGG